RNA transcript from Pyrgilauda ruficollis (rufous-necked snowfinch), 914 nucleotides. It is a transcript of the gene named fibroblast growth factor 6, with no coding region annotated. The transcript is spliced from 4 exons. Lineage: Eukaryota; Metazoa; Chordata; Aves; Passeriformes; Passeridae. The record is from RefSeq and is a predicted model, not a curated record.
AUGGCCACGGCACAAAGACUUCUCAUCACUAUGUCCUGCAAUGCCAGCACUCACCGGACGUUGCCUGCGUUCCUUCUCCUGGGUUUGCUAGCCGGGAUUGCUGCCACACACCCAGCUGUAAGCAGAACUAAUGGCACAUUGCUGGAGAGAGGAUGGCAAUCUCUGCUGUCCAGGUCCAUGGCUGGGAUGUCAGGGGAGAAGGCAGAUGUGAACUGGGAGAGUGACUAUUUGCUAGGAAUCAAGAGGCAGCGGAGGCUUUACUGCAACGUGGGCAUCGGGUUUCACCUUCAAAUCCUCCCAGACGGAAGGAUAAGCGGAGUUCACAAUGAAAACCAAUACAGUCUCUUUGAAAUAUCCACUGUAGAAAGAGGAGUUGUAAGUCUGCUCGGUGUGAAAAGUGCUCUCUUCAUUGCAAUGAACAGCAAAGGCAGGUUGUAUGGGACGGCUGUUUUCCAUGAUGAGUGCAAAUUCAAGGAAACCUUGCUGCCCAAUAACUACAACGCAUAUGAAUCCAAUGUUCACCACGGCGCUUACAUAGCCCUGAGCAAACACGGCAGGGUGAAGAGAGGGAACAAGGUUUCUCCUGCCAUGACAGUGACCCACUUCUUACCAAGAAUAUGAGCACCAGCAAAACAGAAGAUUAAAUCCCAGGACAAGCUGUUUCGUUUUGCACAUGGGGAAUAACCUCCCAGAGAAAAAUGCAAGCUGGAGUGCAAAGGAAGUUUUUGGAAGAUGAAGAAUGGCUGUGGGUAACCAUCUAAUCAAUCAUAGGUGAUUUACUAAAUAUUAUUUACCUCAGAUAAUAACCUCUUGUAGUGAACUGUUUACAUAUCAUGGGCCAAAUCACCAGAUGAUUUUGCUUCACCAGAGCUUCAGGCAGUUCACUCCAUCUGAAUAUCUGCCUGUACCCCCCU